RNA transcript from Scophthalmus maximus (turbot), 3065 nucleotides. RefSeq lists it as uncharacterized. The record is from RefSeq and is a predicted model, not a curated record. The transcript has 2 exons. NCBI's taxonomy places the organism in Eukaryota, Metazoa, Chordata, Actinopteri, Pleuronectiformes, Scophthalmidae.
CCCCUGGAGCCAGGGCUAAGACACCCAAAGCAUCCAGGCAAAAAGACUCUAACAAUGAGUGGAAAACAACAUUCUCAUCAAGCAAGACCUCCUUCACCAAAGGCAGGGUUUCGAUCCUGAGGAAUAAGUACGCCAUCUCCUGGGGCAAAUCAUCCAUCUCCUGGAGCAGAACCACAGUAGCUUUGGGCAACACCGGCAUAGCGUUGGGCAAAACAUCCGUCACACGAGGGGAGACCACCAGCUCCCUCACCACUCUGACACUCACUCAUGGGACCAAGUCUGUGUCUGUGGUCAAAACCACCCUCAUCAGGGGCAAGGAGAGGCUCAGCAACAUCUACUGGGAUUUUAAAAACGUGAAUCCGUCGCACACUUAAAAAAUUUCACCAAGGAUGUGUCAGCCUGGUGUGUUUUAGCAGGUUAGUAGUACAAAGAGCUGCUCCGUUUGUGAUCAGUGUGUGUCAAGAGUUACACGUCAAUAAGAACAUGAACCUGCCUGCACACAGUACAAGUGCCAAUUCUCAGUCUUGGCAUAACCAGCAGGAUCAGAUGACACAGGCAGCCAGUGCUGUGCUUAUCAUCCUGGACUGUUGGGGAAGAAGUCCUGUCCUGGAUCGUCACCAAGGGAAAGAAUGCCUUGUGCUCUUGAUGAAUAUUAAGAUACGGAUAAUAAUAAUAAUAAUUUUGGCCAAAUCCAAAUAGAGUAAAAGAUGAAAAAAAAAAUGAAAAAAAUGAAAAACUACAACAGGGUGUCCCUCUCUCUCUCUCUCUCUCUCUCACCCAUCCCCUCUGUGGACAAGAGUAAAGGCAAAGUGUUUCGUGGUCAGAGGAGGUGUUAAGGGUUCAGGGUGUACGAUGGACAGUAAAGGAUGUUGGGCUGAGAAGCGGCGAGAGUGUAAAUCAGAUGUUGUGAGAAAUAAUGGGGUGAAAACGGCGAGAGUUGUGGUGAGAGAUGAGGCAAAUCUGCGAGAUGAGAGACGUCCAAAUGUUCAGUCAAACCUAAAAAAACAGAAACUUCUGCUGUAAUCUCACAUACUUGACAAAAAAAAAAAUGAAAUGCAAAAGGAGGCUACAAAGAAACGGAACUAGAAAUAUAAAAAUCUAUCAGGGGCACAAAAUGAUGCAACUGUCACUGCCUCUACUAUUACUCAGAGGGAAAAAAACAAAGAGCUACCCACUUGCAGAGGCACGUCCAACUGAUGUGAAUAUGUAUUUGUGUUUACUAGAGUACAGAACAUCUUAUUCUCCCCUCUCGAGCCACAACCCCCCCCCCACCCCCCCCUCAGAGAAGAGCUCCAACCUCGGCCAAGCUGCAGCACAUCGCCCCUCCUCUCCUUCUCCCGCCCCCUGCUCCUUUAGUUGACAGGGAGCAAAGCUCAAGGGCCUCAGACCCGUCAAGUCUCACUCAUCUUAUCUCAUGUUUUCGUAGGUUCACCGCGUUCACAUCGACGUGAUCCUCCAGUCGCGGGUGGCGGCGCGACAGCUCUCAGCCAAGACUGAGGCCGAGGAGCCAGCACAAUUCUAAAAACAUCAGAGUGCAGCGUGACGCCUGUGAACCAACUUGUCUUGUGAGCGCUGAUCCAACAACAGUGUGUUAAAUUUAGCCCAGAUAAACAAAGUGCAAUUUUUAGGUCCCCCCCCCCCCCCGACUGCAGACCGCCUUGUUGAGAUCAAACCUGUUGCUAGUGGCAACGGCACAGUGGGAGCUGCUGUCCCUGUGGACGUGAUAAGUAAUAUCACCGAGUCUCUACGACUCUUUGGAGCCAUUAACACUAAAUUCAGUUAAACAACAUUGAGACUGAAGCCUCUGCAGGAUGAUCAAAUGUUAAAAGUGUUGGGCCACAAAACCAUUUGAAUACAUAAAGUCAAACACGUCCUGUUGAAAAACUUUGAAAAUUCUGAAUUUGGUAUGGUUUUUCUUUUCUUUUCUUUUUUCCGAGUUCUGGAUUCAGUUUGUUUACAGACGCACAGAGGCCUCGUGCAGAAACUGUUUCCCUGUGGUGGUGCAAGUGUGUGAUCAGGUUUCCCUUUGUUAUACUCACUUUGUCUAUUGCUGUACAUACGUGUCUCUAAUUAAAAAACAAUUGUGUCCAUUAAAAGUACGACACUGUAAACAAGGAUCACGAAAACCCCGAGUGGACAUUAGAUCAAGUAAAAUUCACAUUUAAAUAUUACUGUGAUGGAACAUUUGACAACAUGUGAAUUUCUUGGCCCCUAAAAAAAAAAUAACCUUUUUCUGAAGUCCCACAAAAUGUUAAUUUCUGUGUGUUCUGAUUGUAUGUUAAACAUGUAUGAGUGUGAGAAAAAAAAGACGGAUUUUAUAUAUAUAUAUAUAUAUAUAUAUAUAUAUAUAUAUAUAUAUAUAUAUAUACACACACACACACACACACACAUGUAUUAGGGGAAAAUAAACGCUUGGCUUGGUGUACUAAUCGAGGCACUAACGUCAGCUAAGCUACUGAGGCCUAGGCAGCAGAUCAAACUGUGGAAAAGUAGCCGAGGACUCGAGUCAGCACCACAUCCUGUAUCCUGCAUCCAGAGGGUCACCGCUGAUUCAGAGUCUCUCUCCCCUCUUUCACUGCACGUUCACAAACAUCCUCCUCUGACUACUUGAAUGAACUCUGACCAGAACGGCAUCAAGAUGAAGAACAUUAAAAAAAAGAAAAAAGGUCAGAAACAUCACGAGGGAGGAGAUGCAGGACGCCUGGAGGAAAAGUGCCCCUGAAGUGAACUUAAUCAAUGUCAUGUUGUUCAGUAGAAAACGGAAAAGAAUCUGUGCAGUGAGUAUUACUGAUGAAAAGCUCUUUGAGAUUUAUUUCCGUCUUGUCCAGUGUGUUUGUCCUUAAAAUUCUUAGUCUUAGCCGAGUCAGGUCAAACUGAAAACAACGACGUUGUUGCGCCCUCGCUAAUAACUCUCUGUGUCGUGAGUCCGUUGUGAGAACUUUUUUUCUCCCUUUGUUGCAUGCUCUGUGUGAUCUUGUGUGUUUUGCUCCACUGCACGUGUCACUAAACUGCAAGAAAAAAGAACCUUGGACUGAGAGGUACUGGAAUAAAAACGCUUGAUUGUG